UUUAAAUGUAUGCUCAAUGCGAAUCCCGACUAUGUUAAUGUGCAUUGGAUAUCUGCAGACAGAGCCGACCAUCUGCACCCAAUGUUGACGGUUAACUAUUAAACUAAUAUAUUUUUCAACUCAUUUAAAAGGCCAUUGAAUAGUCACGGUGUAAGAAAAUUUAAAAAAUUCAAUGAUACCUAGUGAGAAACAAUAUAUAGGUA
This is a non-coding RNA of Cinara cedri, 203 nucleotides long. Lineage: Eukaryota; Metazoa; Arthropoda; Insecta; Hemiptera; Aphididae. The record is from the annotation of a GenBank genome assembly.